This 253-nucleotide ribosomal RNA is filed under the name uncultured bacterium. RNAcentral describes it as "partial 16S ribosomal RNA". It matches the Rfam family "Bacterial small subunit ribosomal RNA", at positions 524 to 776 of the family's 1533-position model. The record is from RNAcentral.
GACGAACCGAGCGAACGUUGUUCGGAAUCACUGGGCGUAAAGGGUGCGUAGGCGGGUCUUUAAGUCAGGGGUGAAAUCCUGGAGCUCAACUCCAGAGCUGCCUUUGAUACUGAAGAUCUUGAGUUCGGGAGAGGUGAGUGGAACUGCGAGUGUAGAGGUGAAAUUCGUAGAUAUUCGCAAGAACACCAGUGGCGAAGGCGGCUCACUGGCCCGAUACUGACGCUGAGGCACGAAAGCGUGGGGAGCAAACAGG